AUAGAAACACCAAGUAUUAUAUAAGAUAUUAUUUAUUUAUAAUAUAAAAUUCAAAAAUUAUGAAUUGAAAUUAAUUUCCGAUUCUAUUUUUCCUGUAUGUUAUCUGCCCUUAUAAAGUACCAAUUUAAUGUAAGGAAGACUCAUAAAACCAACAUUUCUUUAUCAGCUGAUCAUUGCAGAUAUAUAAUUGCAAGUAUUUAAGAAAAACCAAUCAUUUAUAUUUGACAAGUACGCUAUUUAAUAUUAUACUAAACACUAAAUUAAAUCAACAAUAUGGAUGUCAAUGGUGAAAUCCAACAUUUUGAUAAGUUUGAAAUGAAAUCUAAAAUUAAAUUUUUUAAUGAUUACAAUCAAAAAGAUUCAAUUAUUAUAAAACAAAAACCAAAACAUUGCCAGCAAGGAAAAGUUAAAGAAAAAGUUGCUAAUAUAGAAAAUUUAGAAAAACAAUUUCACGCUAACUAUACAGAAAAUCAAAACACUAAAAAAAAACAUGAAAUAAAUAUGUCGAAUAUCAUAAAUUAUCUAUUAGAUAUACAGACACAUUUAAGAUAUGAUUUAAAUUAUAUCAAUUGGCCUUCAAUGAUUAUAGGAAAAACGACCCAAACAAGUAUUGCAUAUACAAAUGUGAUCAUUAAGUUCGAUGAAUCGGAUUGAAACUAAUUAUUAUCCUUUACUCUUAGUUAUACAGUUGUAAUACUCAUAAAUAUUUUUAAGACUACAUUAUUGUAAGUUUAACAAACAAAUUCAUUUUCUAGCUUAAAUAAUACUUUUGUUAAAGUAAUAAAUAAACUAAAGUAUACCUAUUCGAUUUAUAUAUUUAUUAUUUAUA
Aphis gossypii (cotton aphid) is the source of this 829-nucleotide long non-coding RNA. RefSeq lists it as uncharacterized. NCBI's taxonomy places the organism in Eukaryota, Metazoa, Arthropoda, Insecta, Hemiptera, Aphididae. The transcript has 3 exons. The record is from RefSeq and is a predicted model, not a curated record.